GAUGAAGAACGCAGCGAAAUGCGAUAAGUAAUGUGAAUUGCAGAAUUCAGUGAAUCAUCGAAUCUUUGAACGCACAUUGCGCCCGCUAGUAUUCUGGCGGGCAUGCCUGUUCGAGCGUCAUUUCAACCAUCAAGCCCUGUUUAGGCUUGUGUUGGGGCCCUGCGGUUGCCGCAGCCCCCUAAAUGCAGUGGCGGGCUCGUUGUCACUCCGAGCGCAGUAGCGUAUCUCGCUCUGGGCGUGGCGGCGGGUGCUAGCCGUGAAACACCCACUAAGGAUGACCUCGGAUCAGGUAGGAAUACCCGCUGAACUUAAGCAUAUCAAUAAGCGGAGGA
This 332-nucleotide unclassified non-coding RNA is filed under the name soil metagenome. RNAcentral describes it as "partial contains 5.8S ribosomal RNA, internal transcribed spacer 2, and large subunit ribosomal RNA". The stretch from base 1 to 120 matches the Rfam family "5.8S ribosomal RNA", at positions 35 to 154 of the family's 154-position model. The record is from RNAcentral.